Molecule: long non-coding RNA, 1395 nt
Organism: Oncorhynchus tshawytscha (Chinook salmon)
Lineage: Eukaryota; Metazoa; Chordata; Actinopteri; Salmoniformes; Salmonidae
Exons: 6
Source: RefSeq, a predicted model, not a curated record
AUCAACAAAAUCCUAAUUUGUUCCACGCAAAGGUGAAUUUUAAACAAUUAUUUCACUAAUAUUAUUAAGCUAUUUCAAUUUAAAUAUUUGAUACUUGGUUGUCAGAGUGCAGUGUUACAUAAAAAGUAACAGUUUUAAUUGUGUGUGCAGUUACUUGCGUUUCACUUUUUGCACGUCUUUGCUAGAUAGCUAGUAUGCUAGCUAACUAGCUCGCCCCUGUCCUGUGCAGUUAGUCUGCUCUACGUGGUGGUUCCAUGGGCGCGUGUCUCAUUUCAGCACCAAGCUUUUUUAGCCUCAUGCUAGUUUGUUCUCUUUAUUUCAGCUGCUUAUUAUAUAUUUAGGACUAAUCUGAUUCAAGCUUUCCUGAAAUUUGAGACCCCACUUACUAGUUUAUCAGAGGCAAAGCUGUACAAUGGGUCUGGAACUGAAGAUGAUGGAAUCUUCCCUGAUGAGUCAUGCCUCUGCCAGUUCUGUGAUGGGUGGUUCAGACCAUGAGUCGGAUGAUACAAUCAUUUUGAGCGAGGAUGGAAGCCCCUCACGAAAGCAUCAAAGAUCUGAUGACGAGGCAAAAAAUCUAAUAGAGAGCAAACUGAAGAAAAGGUCUGGUGGAGAGGUUGUCAUCAAGGAAAACGCCAAAACUAAACUGACUGCACCAAACGAAAGAUGAUCAACAUUCUUGUUUUGGAGAUGACAGACUCUUACGAAAGAUCCCUACACCGCAAAUGGAUAUGUAAGUAUACAUUACAACUGAUAAAGGGCAUCUGUGUUUAAUUAGUCUGGUAUGGUAUCUGAGCAAAUGGGACUUGGUUAUUUGUUUUUUCUUUCAAGAUUAGUAACCAUAUUCAUUUUCUUAAGGAACAUUAUUACGACCCUAAUAGUGGAGAAGUGUACCUCUCGUAUAGAAUCCAAACCAUUCAGAGGAAUUUGGCUUCAUCUGAGAAACGGCCCACUCAACUAUACUAUGGAGGGCCAACUGCUGAAAGGGAGUCCAGUUCAUCCAGUUUGGCUCCCCUGAGUGAAGACCGGUGCAGAGAGGCCAUUUCUCUUAUGAAAAAUUAUUCUAAUGAAGAAACAGUCAAACGGAAAAUGAAAUUGACCUUUGAGUACAGGAAGAAGAUGACCCACGACCUGAGUAAAUGCUCCACCAUCCUAACCAAAUUUCCACGCUUUCUGGAUGUGAAGGGCUUGAUUGAACAGGAUUUUGUGCUGCUGUUUUUUGAGGGAACAUCAGCCAAGUUUUUGGAGAGGUGGCCAACUACAAUCAAGCAUGAAUGCGGAUGGUUAGAUGAUCAUCAUUUGUCAUUUACACUACCGUUCAAAAGUUUGGAGUCACUUGGAAAUGUCCUUGUUUUUGAAAGAAAAGCACAUUUUUUGUCCAUUAAAAUAACAUCAAAU